UUUCCCUUUUAUCUCUCUCCUCCGUUAUCCUCUCCCUAAGCUCGCUCUCUGCAACAAUGGCGUCGGCCCUGUUUCUCACCAGCACGCCUCCAGUCUCUCUUGCUCGAAAAACUCAUCUGGUCAUGCCCUCUCUCCGACUUCGACCUCCGCCCCUCCUCCAUCGUCGCCACCAGUGGAGUCGCCACCGGAUCUGCUCGAGUGACGUGGACGCUCGCGAAUUGCUCCAUCCAUGGACGAGUGUCGGUGUCGCUCGCAAACUACCCCUAUUGUCUUCGGCAAGCUCGGCCGAGAGGCCUUUUUUUCGUGUCCUCAAUUUUCGCUUUUUAAGAGCUCGCCUGUCUGUCUUGAAUCUCUGUUCACCCACUCCCGAAGCUUCAGACGUGCGUCCCGCACCUCUUCGAUGUGGCCGGGCGAAGCAAUGUCCUCUCGAGAAGAUUCUAGAAAAGCUGUUCAACAGAAUCAAUUUUGAGGUUUGACGGAGUAGGAUUCAUUUCUUUUAGGGUAUAUAGACACAUUUCACAGAGAACAUAGAAGGAUGGAGGGGUACAGUCUCCAAAAACACAUUUUUUUGCAUGAAAAAGGAAGCAAAAGCUCAGAUGUUAUGGAGCUCCCAAAUUGUCAGCCACUCUCAAUCGUCGAAAUAAUAUCGCCGUGCCAUGAAUUAUCCUGCUCUACUCUCUAUUCUGCGAUCCGAGUACUUAAAGAACUUGGAUCCGGCUCAACACAACAUUGCUGGCUUUGAUUCUCAGCUUCUUCGUCACUGAGAAUCUUCCCCGUUGAUCUGACCUUCGUUUGCCGCCACCAACAAUUGAUUCCGCAAGAGUGUGAGGUACACUCUGUUUUACUCUGCUCUGCGGCCGGUUACGAAUUGAUGGAAUUGCUCCCGAAAUCUAUUCAUUCACUUUGAUUCCCACCGGCAGUUAUAGUUGAACUUUCUGUCCUUGAUCUCAUCACAGAUUGCAACUCCGUCAUCGUCCACAUACCAGGGGUGGGACAGGCUGGUGAGGUCGGAAUGAGCUGGUGGAGCAGCUUCUCGUGGCUUGCCGGAACAUGGCAGAUCAAGGUGGAAGGACUCAUUCAAUGACCGAUUAGAGUUCCAAAUUGGAGCUUUAUUUCAAUUUGACGAUGUAGGUUUUUUUUUUUAACUUUUGGGAAAGCUACUACAUCUCAUGCUUCAAAUGCUAAUUAGACCCUCCGGCAAGCCAUGUCGGCUUAAAAACUUCUACAAAAAGGCCGCAUCGGAUUUUUGGCCAAACAGAUCAGAGUUAGCACUAAAAGUUUUUCAAAAAAUUUGACAUUUAGAUGAGUUCUUGAAAAUUUUUAGUACUAAAGUAAACGCCA
Molecule: long non-coding RNA, 1341 nt
Organism: Eucalyptus grandis
Lineage: Eukaryota; Viridiplantae; Streptophyta; Magnoliopsida; Myrtales; Myrtaceae
Exons: 2
Source: RefSeq, a predicted model, not a curated record